CAAACUCUUACCAGAACUGUGCAUAGAAUUUACAGAAAUGUUUAAAAGGUUUGCCAUUGUCGAUAUUCAAUUGUUCAUAGACUUUCAUCAGGAUUGUCCAAGUUUCAUAUAUUACAUCAAGUCAUAGGUGUAGUCGAUCUCCUCGUGUGGUGAAAAGAAGGUAAGUCCAAUCCCCAGCAGAAGAAACAAAUAUGUACAAACUACUUUUACAUGGUAUCAAGAUCUACAACAUCACCACACUUCUCACGGAAUCAUGAAUGUGCUUUAAGCAACUUUUGGUAGACCAAGUCGAUAAACUGAUUGUCCUGAACAAGCAUUAGAAGCACGUCUUGAACCUUCUCUCUGCUUAGUGUCACACUUUGUGGAGGAAUCUGAGUAGAAGUGAGAAAUGGAGGCGAAGUAGGUGUUCGGAAGGGUUGAACUAGAAGUGUACCAUGUGGGCGUUGUGGAUUCACAUGAGGAUAAAGGACGGGAGUUGAUGUAGCUGAGGAGACAGAAGUUGUCACCAAUACAGGUGACACAGGGGGUGUAAAGAAAGAAGGCUUCACAAGAUUUGCAGGGUAAUUAGUACUAUUGAUCAGGUUAGCAGAAUCGCGGCGUGACUGUCGAGGAGGUGAUGGAGCUGACUGAACAGGUAAUGAGACUUGCGAAAUUGGAGCAGGAGAAGGCAGGGGACUUGGAACUCGGGGUGAUGGAUCAAAAGUUGGAACUGGAUAAUGAUAUGGCAGUCCGGAGUUCACAACAGUCGAAGAGGUAUGCCCAAUAGUUGCAGCACUAUUGAAAAAGUUCAUAAAGGAAGAAUCAUCAGCACCAAACCCAUCCGUAGAGGUGGUAAAUGCUGGUCCAGAUGUCCCUUCUAUUGCUGUACUCAUUGGGACCACCUCAUGAUCUGCAAACUCACUUUUUCUUAGCUGUGGCUUCAGGGGAACCUUUGAGUAUUCACCUAAAAUUCUGGAAUCCACCACAUCAAAGUAAAAUUAUACAAGUUGCAGAUUAUGCGCCAUGAUUACGUAAGAAAAAUGACCCAAUUACUUCACAUGCCCUGCCGAAGAGAUCUGCAACCUCCUCAAUUUCAUGUGCAUUGUAAAACCAAAUACCAUUGACUUCUUGGGCUGCAUUGCGAUACAACAAGUAUGGAACCUGAACCUCAAACUCAAAGUCUCCCAAGAGAUCUUCCACCAUAUUUUCUGCACUCCUGCGGUUCAUAACAAUGAACUGGAACCUUGGCUGAGCACUCCUCUUAACUACAAAGAAAGAACCUUCAACCUCCUUGCGGCUCCAUUGAUUGAGGUCUACGUUGAACUCGUACAACGUAACAUGAGCAGCUGUGAUGAGGAUCUCCUCAAUACGCGGAUCGAUUCUCUGUAGCACAGUGAGGUUUAGCAUCUUCGUACUUCGCUCAUCCAGAUUCGGCAUUAACUUUGAAUUCGACGACAUCUUCUUCUAGAACUUUCCGAUUGAUCGUACAGAAGCAGAUAGAUUAUAG
RNAcentral lists this unclassified non-coding RNA (1486 nucleotides) under Hevea brasiliensis (rubber tree). The record is from RNAcentral. Lineage: Eukaryota; Viridiplantae; Streptophyta; Magnoliopsida; Malpighiales; Euphorbiaceae.